UGGGGAAUAUUGGACAAUGGGGGAAACCCUGACGCAGCAACGCCGCGUGAGUGAGGAAGGUUUUCGGACCGUAAAGCUCUGUCGAGCGGGAAGAAAUGCAUGGUGGCUAAUAUCCAUCAUGCUUGACGGUACCGCUAAAGGAAGCACCGGCUAACUCCGUGCCAGCAGCCGCGGUAAUACGGGGGUUGCGAGCGUUGUUCGGAAUUAUUGGGCGUAAAGAGCGUGUAGGCGGCUGAAUAAGUCAGAUGUGAAAUCCCUGGGCUUAACCCAGGACGUGCAUUUGAAACUAUUCGGCUAGAGUAGGUGAGAGGAAAGUGGAAUUCCUGGUGUAGAGGUGAAAUUCGUAGAUAUCUGGAGGAAGACCGGUGGCGAAGGCGACUCUCUGGCACUAUACUGACGCUGAGACGCGAGAGCGUGGGUAGCAAACA
This 428-nucleotide ribosomal RNA is filed under the name uncultured prokaryote. Its description in RNAcentral is "bacterial SSU rRNA". It matches the Rfam family "Bacterial small subunit ribosomal RNA", at positions 355 to 774 of the family's 1533-position model. The record is from RNAcentral.